UCUGGUGUUCGGGUUGUCACGCCAGUGGCACUGCCCGGUAGCUAAGUUCGGAAUCGAUAACCGCUGAAAGCAUCUAAGCGGGAAGCGAGCCCUGAGAUGAGUCAUCCCUGACCCCUUGAGGGUCCUAAAGGGCCGUUGGAGACCACAACGUUGAUAGGUGGGGUGUGUAAGCGCAGUGAUGUGUUGAGCUAACCCAUACUAAUUACCCGUGAGGCUUAACCAUACAACACCCAAGAAGUGUUCUG
RNAcentral lists this ribosomal RNA (245 nucleotides) under Aeromonas salmonicida. Its description in RNAcentral is "partial 23S ribosomal RNA". It matches the Rfam family "Bacterial large subunit ribosomal RNA", at positions 2708 to 2925 of the family's 2925-position model. Lineage: Bacteria; Pseudomonadati; Pseudomonadota; Gammaproteobacteria; Aeromonadales; Aeromonadaceae. The record is from RNAcentral.